RNAcentral lists this ribosomal RNA (429 nucleotides) under Chloroflexota bacterium. RNAcentral's name for it is "Chloroflexi bacterium partial 16S ribosomal RNA". It matches the Rfam family "Bacterial small subunit ribosomal RNA", at positions 355 to 776 of the family's 1533-position model. The record is from RNAcentral. Lineage: Bacteria; Bacillati; Chloroflexota.
UGGGGAAUAUUGCACAAUGGGCGCAAGCCUGAUGCAGCCAUGCCGCGUGUAUGAAGAAGGCCUUCGGGUUGUAAAGUACUUUCAGUCGGGAGGAAGGUGUCAAGGUUAAUAACCUUGGCAAUUGACGUUACCGACAGAAGAAGCACCGGCUAACUCCGUGCCAGCAGCCGCGGUAAUACGGAGGGUGCAAGCGUUAAUCGGAAUUACUGGGCGUAAAGCGCACGCAGGCGGUUGAUUGAGUCAGAUGUGAGAUCCCCGGGCUUAACCCGGGAAUUGCAUCUGAUAAUGGUCAGCUAGGGUCUUGUAGAGGGGGGUAGAAUUCCAUGUGUAGCGGUGAAAUGCGUAGAGAUGUGGAGGAAUACCGGUGGCGAAGGCGGCCCCCUGGACAAAGACUGACGCUCAGGUGCGAAAGCGUGGGGAGCAAACAGG